This 301-nucleotide ribosomal RNA is filed under the name uncultured bacterium. RNAcentral describes it as "partial 16S ribosomal RNA". It matches the Rfam family "Bacterial small subunit ribosomal RNA", at positions 509 to 807 of the family's 1533-position model. The record is from RNAcentral.
CAGCCGCCGCGGUAAUACGUAGGGUGCGAGCGUUAAUCGGAAUUACUGGGCGUAAAGCGUGCGCAGGCGGUUAUGUAAGACAGGUGUGAAAUCCCCGGGCUUAACCUGGGAACUGCGCUUGUGACUGCACAGCUAGAGUAUGGCAGAGGGGGGUGGAAUUCCACGUGUAGCAGUGAAAUGCGUAGAGAUGUGGAGGAACACCGAUGGCGAAGGCAGCCCCCUGGGCCAAUACUGACGCUCAUGCACGAAAGCGUGGGGAGCAAACAGGAUUAGAUACCCCCGUAGUCCCUGUCUCUUAUAC